RNAcentral lists this ribosomal RNA (3143 nucleotides) under Candidatus Shapirobacteria bacterium CG10_big_fil_rev_8_21_14_0_10_40_9. Its description in RNAcentral is "bacterial LSU rRNA". It matches the Rfam family "Bacterial large subunit ribosomal RNA". Lineage: Bacteria; Candidatus Shapironibacteriota. The record is from RNAcentral.
GCCUAGUUUUUAUUAAAGCAAACGGUGGAUGCCUUGGUGGCAAGAGCCGAGGAAGGACGCUGCAGGUGGCGAUACUCGUCGGGGAGAAACCUAGCAUUCUUUGAUCCGGCGGUUUCCGAAUGGGGUAACCCCUCCGAUUUAAUCGGAGACUCUCCACCCAAUAUCAUAAGUGGAGUAGAGGGAACCACCCGAACUGAAACAUCUAAGUAGGGUGAGGAAAAGAAAACAAAUUGUGAUGCCGUAAGUAGCGGUGAGCGAAAGCGGUAAAGCCUAAACCCCGCCCUUUCGCAAGAAAGAGCGGGAGGUUGUAGGACUCCGAUUUGGGAGUACCGAGGGUAGCUGAAGGACAUGGAAUUGUCCGCCAGAGAAGGUGAUAGUCCUGUAGGCAAAAUCUGAAGUACCCCUAGGAGAAUCCUAAGUACCAUGGGGCAAAUACCCUGUGAGAAUCUGGGGGAACCAUCCCCCAAGGCUAAAUACUCUUGUCGACCGAUAGUGAACAAGUACCGUGAGGGAAAGGUGAAAAGAAGGGUCAAAAACCUAGUGAAAUAGAACCUGAAACCGUUUGCUAACAAGCAGAGGAAGUUCGGGACUAGAUUGGGCCCUUGAAAGUCUUGGAUUAGCACAGAUAACGCGACACGCAGACUACAUUAAGACCUUGUGAGUCUUCUUGUGUUGCGCGCGGAUAAACACAGAAAGAAUAAUCAGCGUAAAUCCGCGUAAGCGGCUAAAUAGCGUUUCGGAAUUAAAAAUCAAGGAGCGCAGCCGCUUAAAAUCAGCGUCAAUCCAGGCGUUUCGAGAGUCUUACCUAGUUCCGGAUGACCUCGUGCCUAUUGAAGAAUGAACCGGCGAGUUGUCAGUUUUUGCUAGUCUAACCCCGCUGGAGCGGGGGGAGGCGCAGGGAAACCGAGUCUUAAUAGGGCGUUCAAGCAGCAACUGGCAGACCCGAAACCGGGCGAGCUAUCCAUGGGCAGGGUGAAUCUCGGCGAAAGCCGUGAGGAGGCCCGAACCCGUUCCUGUUGCAAUAGGAUGGGAUGACCUGUGGUUAGAGGCAAUAUACCAAACGAGCCCGGAGAUAGCUGGUUCUCCCCGAAAUAUAUAUAGGUAUAGCCCUUGUUCAAAUUUUCUGGGGGUAGAGCACUGAAUGGGUUAGGUAUCGCAAGAUAUCUAAUUCAAUCAAACUCCGAAUACCAGGAAUUUUUUGGCAGGGAGUCAGAACGACCGGGCUAAGCUGGUCGCUCGAGAGGGAAACAACCCAGACUUUCGUCUAAGGUCUCAAAAUUUGGCUUAAGUGGAGAAGGAAGUAUUCACCCUCAGACAGCCAGGAGGUUGGCUUAGAAGCAGCCAUCCUUAAAAGAAAGCGUAACAGCUCACUGGAAGAUGGGUGAAUGCACCGAAAAUUUACCGAGGCUCAAAGCCAAUACCGAAGACAGAGCCCGCCGAUUCGGCGGGAGUAGGGGAGCGUCCCGAUAGCAGUGAAGGUGGACUGUAAAGUCUGCUGGAGUUGUCGGGAGUGAGAAUGCCGGUAUGAGUAGCGAAAGUCCGGUGAGAAUCCGGACCGCCGAAUACCCAAGGUUUCCCCCGCAAUGUUCGUCAACGGGGGGUUAGUCGGUCCUAAGGGAAGUCCCGCCGAUUCGGCGGGGGUACCCAAUGGAGAAGCCGUUUAUAAUCGGCUACAGAAAAGAAGCCGUUUUAAGUUGGGGAUUGACAAGGUUGGAAGAGCUAAGCGAGGAAGUGACACCUCGUUUAAGCUGCAAGGCAGUUCUUGUUGGCAAAUCCGCAAGAGCGUCUUAACCGAGCAGUAAAUAAAAGUCCAAUCCGCAAGGAAAGGGCAAUUUGGUGACUUUCGGCCUUCGAGAAAAGAUUCGCAACAAGGUUUCUUUUUUACCGUACCGCAAACCGACACUGGUGGGUUGGUCGAGAAGACUAAGGCGAGCGGGAGAAGGAAGUUCAAGGAACUCGGCAAAAAAUCUGGGCGUAAGCUAUGCAAGAUGCCCUCCCUGAAAAAUCGCAAGAUUUUUUAGGGCGCAGCGAAAGAUUGUUUGGCGACUGUUUAACUAAAACACAGGUCUCUGCAAAACCGAAAAGGUAAAGUAUAGGGGCUGAAGCCUGCCCAGUGCCGGAAGGUUAUGGGGAUGGAUUUUGUGCUUUGCACAAGGUCUUGAACUUAAGCCCCGGUGAACGGCAGCAGUAACUAUAACUGUUCGAUGGUAGCGAAGUCCCUCGUCAGGUAAGUUCUGACCCGCAUGAAAGGCUUAACGACCAAACAACUGUCUUGAACUUUCACCCGGCGAAAUUGAAAUGGCUGUGAAGAUGCGGCCUAGGUGCUCUAGGACAAAAAGACCCCGUGGAGCUUUACUAUAGCUUGGCAUUGGAAUGAUGUUUGAAAUUGUCGAGUGUAGGAGGGAGUCCCGAUUUUAUCGGGACAACAAUGUAACACCUCUCUUUUCAGGUAUCAAACCUUACCCAUGGGCCUUGCAAACAGGUCUGGGGAAAGUGUCAGGUGGAUAGUUUGACUGGGGAAGUCGCUUGCUAAAAGGUAACGCGAGCGCACAAAGGUCAGCUUAGUCCGGAUGGAAAUCGGACUGGACGUGCAAAGGCAGAAGCUGGCUUGACUGCGAGACUGACAGGUCAAGCAGGUGCGAAAGCAGGUCUUAGUGAUCCUCCGAUUCUUCGUGGGAAGGUCGGGGCUUAACGGAUAAAAGUUACCCCGGGGAUAACAGGCUGAUCGGACCCGAGAGUCCAUAUCUACGGUCCGGUUUGGCACCUCGAUGUCGGCUCACCGCAUCCUCCCGCCGAAGUAGGUGGGAAGGGUUGGACUGUUCGCCCAUUAAAGCGGUACGUGAGCUGGGUUCAGAACGUCGUAAGACAGUUCGGACUCUAUCCAGAGCAUCCGUUGAUUUUUGAGGGGAGCUCUCCCUAGUACGAGAGGACCGGGAGGGGGGAAUCCCUGGUGUGUCGGUUGUCGUGUCAACGGCAUCGCCGAGUAGCCACAUUCCUAAGGGAUAACCACUGAAAGCAUCUCAAGUGGGAAGCCCACCCCAAGAUAAGAAAUCGUUAAAGACCCCUUGUAGAUUACAAGGUUGAUAGGCUGGAGGUAGAAGGGCAGUAAUGUCUUAAGCUAACCAGUACUAAUCGGUCGAAAA